Molecule: ribosomal RNA, 254 nt
Filed under: uncultured bacterium
Lineage: Bacteria
Description: partial 16S ribosomal RNA
Rfam family: Bacterial small subunit ribosomal RNA
Source: RNAcentral
CACGUAGGGGCCAAGCGUUGUCCGGAUUCAUUGGGCGUAAAGAGCUUGUAGGCGGUUCUGUUAGUCGGGUGUGAAAUCUCCGGGCUCAACCCGGAGGGGCCACCCGAUACUGCUGUGACUCGAGUCCGGUAGGGGAGUGGGGAAUUCCUGGUGUAGCGGUGAAAUGCGCAGAUAUCAGGAGGAACACCGGUGGCGAAGGCGCCACUCUGGGCCGGUACUGACGCUGAGGAGCGAAAGCGUGGGUAGCAAACAGG